This 483-nucleotide ribosomal RNA is filed under the name uncultured bacterium. RNAcentral describes it as "partial 16S ribosomal RNA". It matches the Rfam family "Bacterial small subunit ribosomal RNA", at positions 30 to 507 of the family's 1533-position model. The record is from RNAcentral.
UUGAACGCUGGUGGCAGGCCUAACACAUGCAAGUCGAGCGGAUGAAGGGAGCUUGCUCCUGGAUUCAGCGGCGGACGGGUGAGUAAUGCCUAGGAAUCUGCCUGGUAGUGGGGGAUAACGUCCGGAAACGGGCGCUAAUACCGCAUACGUCCUGAGGGAGAAAGUGGGGGAUCUUCGGACCUCACGCUAUCAGAUGAGCCUAGGUCGGAUUAGCUAGUUGGUGGGGUAAAGGCCUACCAAGGCGACGAUCCGUAACUGGUCUGAGAGGAUGAUCAGUCACACUGGAACUGAGACACGGUCCAGACUCCUACGGGAGGCAGCAGUGGGGAAUAUUGGACAAUGGGCGAAAGCCUGAUCCAGCCAUGCCGCGUGUGUGAAGAAGGUCUUCGGAUUGUAAAGCACUUUAAGUUGGGAGGAAGGGCAGUAAGUUAAUACCUUGCUGUUUUGACGUUACCAACAGAAUAAGCACCGGCUAACUUCGUG